AUCCCAUACUGAUUACAAAGCUGCCCGACAUUAAACUAAAAGCACCUAACAAAAUACUACAAAACUACUCAACAUCCUACAUAGAACUAAGCUAGAACACUGCCAAUUAAACAUUUGGAUCCGACCUAAGUCACACAGAGCGUGAGCGGGUCAAAUGCGGGAGCACAAAAGCGUCAAUUGUUUGAAGGACCGGAAUUAAGUGCAUCAUUAGAGCAUCAAUAUUUAAUAAAUACAAAUAUAUCUAUUAUAAGGUCUUAUUUGUACUUGUGCGUUCUAUAAUUUGGUAUGUAUAAUAUUUGAUCACACCAGAAAUUGUACCGGUAGUAUAUAAUAAGUAUAUUACAUAUAGGGGCCGGUUCCAUGGACAUCAUUUUUUACACAACUUUUGCCACUUCAUCUCAACCCUUGAAAUGGAGGGCUGAGAUUAAACCUUAAAAGGGGAUAUUGUACUCAAUAAUUUUCCCCCUCUCUCACCUCUCUAACAUUUUCUCUCUCCUUGUACACUCACAAAUCAAAACACUGGCGACUCCCCUCCCCACUCCGGCGCCUCCAUCUCCGACGAACACCAUCUUCUCUCUCUCCCGAUGUUAGCAUCAACAAGAGUUUACCAAUUUCCAAUGUAACCCUUUCAAGAUUUUUUAAUGGGCAUAAAAAGAAAAAACCAUGGAAACCCAUAACAUUCAAGAUUAACAUUCAAUUUUCAGAACCCAUAACCCCAUUUCAAUUUCUGGACGGAAAUAACAUCCAAAAAGUUCAAGUGCAAAGCAAAAUCACAUUACAAUUGCAGAGAUUAGCAUCCUCCUCUCUGGUUUUAGAGGUAAUUGUUUUGAUUUUGAUCAAUUGGUAAGAAGAUUAGGGCUUCAUUGGGGAUUCGAGAGAGGGGUGUGAGAGAGAGAGAGAAGUGCGAGGGUGGGCAGGAGAGACAGAGAGAACGCCGGAGCUGAGUUCGCCGGGUACGGGAGUCGCCGGAGUCGCAGGUGGUGGCGUGUCGGUGAGGAGAGAGUACGUGAGGGUAGAGACGACAUAGAAACGUGAGAUGGAAAGACGGGGAGCUAUUCAGAGAGAGAGAGAGAGAGUACUGGGUUGAUUGCCGGAGAUGGGUUUGCCGAUGAGGACUCUCAGCGGAUAUGGAGGGGCAAGGGAGGCCCAGGAGGGGAUGGAGAGAGAGAGAGAGAGAGAGAGAGAUUGGGUGAGGUUGGGUGUGUGUGCCAUUUUAAGAGUUUUACUCUCAACCCUCCAUUUCAAGGGUUGAGAUAGAGUGGUAAAAGUUGUGUCAAAGUUGAUGUCCACGGAACCAGCCCC
Long non-coding RNA from Rhododendron vialii, 1302 nucleotides. RefSeq lists it as uncharacterized. The transcript is spliced from 2 exons. NCBI's taxonomy places the organism in Eukaryota, Viridiplantae, Streptophyta, Magnoliopsida, Ericales, Ericaceae. The record is from RefSeq and is a predicted model, not a curated record.